This 484-nucleotide ribosomal RNA is filed under the name uncultured bacterium. RNAcentral's name for it is "partial 16S ribosomal RNA". It matches the Rfam family "Bacterial small subunit ribosomal RNA", at positions 30 to 507 of the family's 1533-position model. The record is from RNAcentral.
AUUGAACGCUGGCGGCAUGCCUUACACAUGCAAGUCGAACGGCAGCGCGGACUUCGGUCUGGCGGCGAGUGGCGAACGGGUGAGUAAUACAUCGGAACGUACCCUGUUGUGGGGGAUAACUAGUCGAAAGAUUAGCUAAUACCGCAUACGACCUGAGGGUGAAAGAGGGGGACCGCAAGGCCUCACGCCGCAGGAGCGGCCGAUGUCUGAUUAGCUAGUUGGUGGGGUAAGGGCCCACCAAGGCGACGAUCAGUAGCUGGUCUGAGAGGACGAUCAGCCACACUGGGACUGAGACACGGCCCAGACUCCUACGGGAGGCAGCAGUGGGGAAUUUUGGACAAUGGGGGCAACCCUGAUCCAGCAAUGCCGGGUGUGUGAAGAAGUCCUUCGGGUUGUAAAGCACUUUUGUCCGGAAAGAAAUCGCGCUGGUUAAUACCUGGCGUGGAUGACGGUACCGGAAGAAUAAGCACCGGCUAACUACGUG